GGGGAAUAUUGGACAAUGGGCGCAAGCCUGAUCCAGCCAUGCCGCGUGAGUGAUGAAGGCCUUAGGGUUGUAAAGCGCUUUCGUCCGGGACGAUAAUGACGGUACCGGAAGAAGAAGCCCCGGCUAACUUCGUGCCAGCAGCCGCGGUAAUACGAAGGGGGCUAGCGUUGUUCGGAAUCACUGGGCGUAAAGGGCGCGUAGGCGGCCAAUCAAGUCGGGGGUGAAAGCCUGUGGCUUAACCACAGAAUUGCCUUCGAUACUGUUUGGCUUGAGACCGGAAGAGGUAAGUGGAACUGCGAGUGUAGAGGUGAAAUUCGUAGAUAUUCGCAAGAACACCAGUGGCGAAGGCGGCUUACUGGUCCGGUUCUGACGCUGAGGCGCGAAAGCGUGGGUAGCAAAC
Molecule: ribosomal RNA, 400 nt
Filed under: uncultured bacterium
Lineage: Bacteria
Description: bacterial SSU rRNA
Rfam family: Bacterial small subunit ribosomal RNA
Source: RNAcentral